AGGGUUGUAGCUCAGUGGUAGAGUGCUUGCCUAACAUGUAAGAGGCACUGGGUUGAAUCCUCAGCACCACAU
Molecule: non-coding RNA, 72 nt
Organism: Ictidomys tridecemlineatus (thirteen-lined ground squirrel)
Lineage: Eukaryota; Metazoa; Chordata; Mammalia; Rodentia; Sciuridae
Source: Rfam